Molecule: long non-coding RNA, 613 nt
Filed under: Mus musculus (house mouse)
Lineage: Eukaryota; Metazoa; Chordata; Mammalia; Rodentia; Muridae
Description: long non-coding RNA chr4:86849447-86850060
Source: RNAcentral
AAAAACAUCUAAGUCUUUCUUAACAACUGCCUUCCCUACAACUUAAAAUCUUAUAUCUUUGCCUUUUAAAUUAUGUAAUAUCUUGCUUAAUAGGUUAUAUCUUAGAUAUCCAGGUGCUCCUUCCGUCUUCUUCCAAUACUAAGUUCAUCUGCAAUGCUUUCAUUGGAAUCCAGUAGGUAAAAUGAAAUUAAUCUUUGUAACCUAACAAACUUAUCCAGCACAUGCUUUUAAAAUACUAAUGAAUAAAUAGUCUUUGACCCCGAAAUCUUUAUUCAGGCAGGCCACUUGUUGGUAUUGAUUACUUUUUUAUAAUCCUGGUUUCAUGGGAGGCAGAGGCAGGAGGAUCUCAAGUUGGAGGCCCGCCUGAACAACUUUUAGUGAGCCCUGUUUCAGUAACUUGAAAGGAGAUCUGGGAAUGUAGUUCAGUGUAGAGCACUUGCCUAGCAUACAUGAGGCUCUAGGUUCAGUUCCUAGUACCACAAAAUAAGUAAGUAAAUAAAUAACUAGAUAGAUAGAUUAAACCUGUGGGAUGGAGAAUUUGCACUGCACAUAAAAGUUUUAUUCUUGUACAAUAUUUUGAUUUAUAUGCUUGUGAAUAAAAGUGUGUAUUUGU